GCUUUGGCCUCGAAUUUUGGUUCCCACGAAGUUUUAGUGGGAUUAAAAGGGAAUCCAGUGAAAAGCUGGAGCUGUUCCCGCAACUGUAAGUAUGUGCCGAAUUGGCACUGAUGUUUUUUUUGAGCGUCAGUACGUAGUAGGCGAUUGUCUCUGCUUCAAAGCCACUGCCCAAUGGGUGGGAAGGUAGGAGACAAAACACAAGCCAGGAGACCUGCCAGAUUCAAACAAAGAAU
RNAcentral lists this non-coding RNA (233 nucleotides) under Flagellimonas ruestringensis. RNAcentral also lists the same sequence under 1 other name. The record is from RNAcentral. Lineage: Bacteria; Pseudomonadati; Bacteroidota; Flavobacteriia; Flavobacteriales; Flavobacteriaceae.